Molecule: ribosomal RNA, 492 nt
Filed under: uncultured bacterium
Lineage: Bacteria
Description: partial 16S ribosomal RNA
Rfam family: Bacterial small subunit ribosomal RNA
Source: RNAcentral
AGUGAACGCUGGCGGCAGGCCUAACACAUGCAAGUCGAACGGCAGCACAGUAAGAGCUUGCUCUUACGGGUGGCGAGUGGCGGACGGGUGAGGAAUACAUCGGAAUCUUCUUUUUCGUGGGGGAUAACGUAGGGAAACUUACGAUAAUACCGCAUAUGAUGUACGGGUGAAAGCAGUGGAUCUUCGGACCUUUCGCGAUUGAAUGAGCCGAUGUCGGAUUAGCUAGUUGGCGGGGUAAAGGCCCACCAAGGCGACGAUCCGUAGCUGGUCUGAGAGGAUGAUCAGCCACACUGGAACUGAGACACGGUCCAGACUCCUACGGGAGGCAGCAGUGGGGAAUAUUGGACAAUGGGCGCAAGCCUGAUCCAGCCAUACCGCGUGGGUGAAGAAGGCCUUCGGGUUGUAAAGCCCUUUUGUUGGGAAAGAAAAGCAGCAGGUUAAUACCCCGCUGUUCUGACGGUACCCAAAGAAUAAGCACCGGCUAACUUCGUG